This is a non-coding RNA of Callithrix jacchus (white-tufted-ear marmoset), 16117 nucleotides long. The record is from RefSeq and is a predicted model, not a curated record. Lineage: Eukaryota; Metazoa; Chordata; Mammalia; Primates; Cebidae.
GGGCACGGCCUCUACCCCAUGUCGGCACGGCCUCUACCCCAUGUCGGCACGGCCUCUUCCCCUUGUGGGCACGGCCUCUACCCCAUGUCGGCACGGCCUCUUCCCCUUGUGGGCACGGCCUCUACCCCAUGUCGGCACGGCCUCUACCCCUUGUCGGCACGGCCUCUACCCCUUUGUUUUUCUAUCACCCAAGCAUCACUUCUUCUCACCUGUCAUCUCCUGUCCCCCUGCAUCCUGAUCAAGCUGGAACUUGUAUGUCAACUUUACUCCUAUUGUAGAACCAAGGAAUUUUUUCUCUGGUCUCUUUCUUCAGGAAAUAGGCAAAUAAGAUGAGAGUCGGUAGCUUUACCUCCUACAUAUCUCAGUUUCUCUCUUACAAUCCUAGAAAUAAGGCCCACACAAAAUGAGCCUGUCAUACGAGGUAGGACAAUGCUAGCAGCUGUGACAUGCACAUGUCAGGCCUCAAGUGGCUUUCCCCAAAUUGGGUAUUCUUGAACAACUGGUGAUUUCCUUCACGCUAUACCUCAGAGAUCCAGCCUUCUUGUGUUCUGGGCGCUACCAUAUUCUACUCAUACCUUUCAGUGUCACCACAUUUGCCUGCAGCAGACAACGGAAAGAGAGUGUCAUGGAAUAUCACGCAGAGAGGCUUUUCAUGGGACAAACCUGGAAGCAGCGUAGUUGGUUUUGUUCAUAUCGCACUCAUUACAUCCCAUGAUGAAUAGCUAGUCCCGCGGUCCUCAAAACGCAGGUUGCAUCACAAUCACCUGGGAACGGUUAAGACCCUUGCUGAGCUGCAGUCUGAGUUUCUGACUUUAUAGAUCUGAAUUGGGUCCAAGAACUUACAUUUCUAACCAGUUUCCAGGAGAUGCUGAUGCAGCUGAUCCUGGGAAAACACUUUGAGGACCACAGAGCUAAUCAAUCUUUGCUACAUUUCUUACGCCCAUAACACAUAUUUCUUGAGGAAUUCCUAUCUUUAUUUUAGAGAGAGAAGAGCAGUUGAUGGAAAGGAGCAGGAUCUUGGCUUGAGAGGAGGUGGCCGCUCCAGAGCACAGGUGAUAGGAGUUCUGGUCAUGGUUCCACUAAGCUGUGUGGCCGUCACAAAUAACCUCCUCUCUGCAAACCCUGGUUUCCUGUUUAUGAAACAGGAAUCAUAACAAUAUCAGUUCUGGGAAACAAGGGGCCGUUGAGAUCAAAUGAGAUAAAUAUGGGGUGAAAUAAUUAUCAUAAAAGCAGACAUCUGGGCUCUCCAUUGGGCAAGAACUAUCUUAAAAGAAAAAAUGUCUUGAUGAUCUUCUCGAGGUGGGGAGGGAGACUGGAAGUGCAGGUCUGAAAGGAUGAACGAGAAGCCGACACCAUUCUGUGACGGGGAGUUUAGGAGUGGGCGCCCACGAGAGAACAGAGGACACAACAUGAGAAAAGGGUGCUGGUGUCGAGGCACUUUUAACAACGGGACAUUUUAUCAUCACUUUUCAGUUGUUUGAGCUUCUGCCUCCCCAGACUUUCAGUACAAUCGCGGCUGUUUUGUUGGUGGAAAUCAAUGAGAAGAAAAUGAAUUCUGUGUCUAGUUGAGUUUACAGCAGAGGCAACAGGAAGCCUGAAGAAGGCGGCAGGGAGCGAAGGGGAGCACGCGUGGAAGCAGCGGACAGAGCCAGGGAUUUUCAGGCAAGUCUAGCCCUUGUGAACAUGGUUCAAGCACAACCCAUAUGCUUUCAUGAAAUCCUCAGUCUCAAAAAUCUGUGUAGGAAGGGCUUGAUAUGACGGCUGCAAACACGUUAUUAUUUCUAAACGUAUCUAAGGGCAGCUAAAAUCAUGACAUUUAUAGUGAUAUUGCUUAAAUUACAUUUUUGAAUAUCUCAUACAUGUAUUACCUAUAUUAUUAUACUGUUAAUUACACCUUCAUUGAUUUUUAAAAUUUUAUACUUUUAAGAUUAGAUGUGGAUGCAUUUUCUAAAAACUACAAGAUUACCCAAACAGAACGGAUUGCAUUUCAAGGUUAGGAAGUUUUUCUAAUAAUAAUUUAUGGCCCAAGUACAAUGUGAUGAAGUGUGCUUGUAGGUACCAACCCGAGACUGUGUUUGCCAAGAGUUGAAUAAAAAGUGGGGGAAAUAUUUUCUAGCCCUUGUUAGAAAUGCCCUCAGAAUGCUUUUUAUUUCUAAAGAAUGCUGCAUUGUAUAUAUGCAGGUAGUUUUCAGCCAAAUGGUUUAAUUUGUAGAGAUUUUAAAUCACAUAAGAUUUGUUUCCUAUGCAGUUUCUUCUGAAACUAUAAAAAGACUAGGUUCUACCUUAAUUUCUAAGAAAAAUAUUAUAAACCUUUAUUAUGAUGGUACAAUUGAUGGAACAAUGUAAUUUUUACAUUUUCACCUUUGAGAGUUAUUUUUCCCCAAGCUUCUGCCUUUUUUGAGUAUUUGCAAAGCUCUGCAAAUGACAGGCGCAUCCACGAUGCAAAGAGUAAUCUUUCUUUGGGGCUGUUCCUGGGGUGGUGAUUAGUAGCAUCUUCACUGAAUAUUUAACUUCUCAGAAUGGCUUAUCUGUGCUGUGGAUCAGUGCAAGAUCUGGGUGAGCUGUCGCUACUCUACAUAAUUAAGUUUUCCUCGCCAAAAAAAAGAGAAAGUAAUAAAACAUGAAGUGAAAGAAGCGGAAAGUUGGACUUUUAAAGCAUCUUCCCCUCAUGUUAUUUUCUCAUUGAAAAGAACCUGAAACAAAAGCAAAAUAUUUGCGUUUUAGGAGGGACUUUAUGCAGAUCAGUCAGGCUGACUGCUCCCAUUUUCUUGCAAAACUCUUAGGAAUUCUCCUCUGCAAACUCCUCCGCUGUCAGUGAUAAGUAGUAAAUGCCACAAAGAGAACAAUUGCCCAUUGUUCAAAAGCUGACUGGCAUGGUAUGUGGGUGAGGCAAAGAGAGGGUAGGGGGCUAAGUUCUGUUGUAGGGAAACCAGUGCAGGACAGAGCUGCUAACUCUGAGGUACUGAAAUGAUAGAUAAUUCAAGUUUCUCAUGUCACUUCCAAGUAGUGCAAAACUCAUGUCACUGCACAGGAUCGUGCUUAAUCCCAUCUUUUUAUAUGUAGAAAAUACACCCCAGAGUUAGACCGACGUGCACGUUAAUGCGUAGCUGGGAUGUCUGCUCACUCUCCAGGCCUGUGUGGAUGAAGCAGACUUUGCUGGCUCAGCUGCACGUUGUUCUUAGCUUCCUCUUCUGAGUGGGCUGGCAUACCCGAUGGAAUCCCCUCCCCUGUAUUUAAUGAACACUCUAAUGUAUGGGGGUGUCUUCUCCUGGUUAGUGUCAUUGGGAAAAUGGCAUCUGCUUAUCUAUUGCAAAUGAAAAUCAUCUGGGGAAUAUAAAAAGCAUUUUCAAUUCUGCUACCAUUAUUUCAGAAGCAAUCAAAUGCAGAGGAAUAUAAGUCAAACAUGGAGCAAAAUGCUGAUGGAUUGGGCGAUCUGCAUAGCGCUCUGGGACCGUCGUUAUUUCAGUGUUCCAGAGGAAAAUGCGCAUUUGAAAGACGUCUCUGGGCACGGAAAGGAGGAGGAAUGUAUGCGAACUCAUCAGCAGUAGGGGAGAGGCGCUUCUGGCAGAAACAAAAGAGGUUCUUGACAUCAUUUGCCUUUUGCUCCUACUUCAUUAAUUUUAGACUUCUGGAAGCUGGGAAGCCCAAGAUGAAGGAACUGAAAGAGUUGGUGUCUAGUGAGGACUGGGUCUCCACUUGCAAGAUGGCACCUUGAAUGCUGUGUCCUCCAGAGGCGGGGAACGCCAUUCCUCACAUGGCAGAAGAGUGGAAGAGCAAGAGAGAAAACUCACUCCCGAAAGUCCUUUUAAGAAAAGCAUUAAGCUUGCCCAUGAGGCUGGAGCCCUCAUGAUCUAAGCACCUCUUAAAAAUCUUAUUUCCUGCGCUGUGCUGGGAUUACUUGGUGCUCCCAAGUAAUCCCAGCACUUUGGGAGGCCGAGGCGGGUGGAUCACGAGGUCAAGAGAUCGAGACCAUCCUGGCCAAUGAGGUGAAACCCUGUCUCUACUAAAAAUACAAAAAAUUAGCUGGGCAUGGUGGCACGUGCCUGUAAUCCCAGCUACUCAGGAGGCUGAGGCAGGAGAAUUGCCUGAACCCAGGAGGCGGAGGUUGCGGUGAGCCAAGAUUGUGCCAUUGCACUCCAGCCUGGGUACCAAGAGCGAAACUCUGUCUCAAAAAAAAAAAAAAAAAGAAAAAAAAUCCUAUUUCCCAAUACUGUCACAUUGGUAAUUACAUGUUAACAUGAAUUUUGGAGGCAACAAGCAUUUAAACCACAGCAGUGGUCCUCCGUUGCCUGGAACAGUCUGCUUUUAGCAUUGCACGUCCCAUGUUCUAGGAAAUUUUCAGUCAUUCUAACUUCUUCCUACACCUGGAUACCUCUACCAUUGGCCUGUCACAGAAUCUGGAGUGAAUCCAAAGGCUAGGGUUGUGUUUUCAUGAAUCCUGUGUUAACAUGCACCAAGACAAUAUCCUCAUAUUAGUUUUUAUUACUCACUUUUCAGUGGGAGUAUGUUUUCAGAGAUGUAGCUUCCACUUCAGACGACAGAGAGCUGAGCCACGACUGAAGAGUGAUUAUGAAUAGUGGGCAGGAAAAGAGAAAAACAACCGUUUGUGAAGCACAUACUAUGUUCAGGGAGUCCGAUGGGCUUUUACUAUUGAUAGAAACAGUUCAGAAAUCAAGCACUGGGCACGCUGAGAGGGUAGGCGGCUGAGUUAGUGAGUGGGAAGGUAAGAGGCAAAUGCUCUAGAAGAAGCGAAGCCGUUACUCAGGUGAGUGGAGAAGAUAGCCUUCAGGCCAAACCCCAGCUGUGCAUUUCGAUUUGACCCUGCAUGUUUCUAACAGUGGAAUUGCGACCAAAAGCCUUAGCCCCAGCAUUGAGUUUCCUCAUCGCUAAAACUGGAAUUUAAUACUUGCUUAUAGGGGUUCUGUUUUGUGCAAAUUGAAUGAAGUGGGUGGAAUAUUUCCUGCCUACCGCCUAACAAGCACUACACUCAUUUUAAGCUGCUACUCAUACUGUUACCGUGAGUACAUUUAUUCAAGAAUGUCCUGCUCGGACAGCGCUGGCUUCUUAUUUAUCCCCACUUUUGAGGGCCUAACAUUGCUCUGUCCCUUUGACAUGUAAGCUAUUUGGUGCCUUUGCCGAAAAUCACUGGGUUUCUUGUUGCAUAUGUGGACAUGGGCACACAAACAGGAGAAAAAAAAAAAAAGAAAAGCAAUUGACUUUUGCUUGUAAAAUCGUUAUCACAGGAGUAUUGUUUUUAUUCUAUGACUCAUUCCGUGUUCCAUUCUAUGGGGUUUCCCCAGGCAUCAAUUCAAUGCUUCCAGUUUUUAUGGGAUUUAAGUUACAUUUGAGGGGCCUCAUAAAUGCAAAAUAAUAAAAAAGGGAACAAGUUUGGAACUUCUAGAUCUGUGCUAUCAAAAGGACUGCACAAAAUUUUUCAUUUUCGUCCAUAUAACUCUGCCUGAACGUUAUUUAUGGUUUGAGCAAAAUAGUAGACAUGGAAUAAGAAUUCACUCAGCUAAGGCAUGUCAGUUAUUCAUAGGUGAAUUGAAGACCUAAACGAUCAUCAAAUUUCACUAGCAACAUUCCAAUGAUACAGUCAUAUAAAACUGAAAUUGUAAUGAAAUGUAACUUUACAUGUAUUUACGGAUUUAAAAGGAAAAAAGAAUACCAUCUUCUCCUGUUGGUAUCAGUUUAAAGUAUACUUCCCUAUGUUUUUUAAAUCUAGGUCCCUACUAAAGAUAGGCCCAACAUUUUUGGUAAGAGGAGAGCUUUUUUUAAUGGCUUCUAUUCCCCAAAUAAGAAUUACAUGUAAACACUUGUAAUUGAUCUUUAAAGCUCUCCUUGACAUAAAUAAAAAGAGCAGACUAUCACAGAUCGCCACAUUUGUAAGGCAUAGCAGAAAGUAGUUGUUAUAAUCUAUUCAUGUUACAUGUAAAAAUUUUGCUUUAAGAUUGUAUACACAUGUUAGAUGAGUCACAUCUGUGUCUUUUCAUUUCAAUUAUCUUUCUGUCAUAUUACACUGCUUUUCUUAUGAAAUAUUUUAGCAAAUGGUAUUGAAAUAGGAUUUUAAGGAAAGAAUGUGAAAAUAGAGGAAUGCCUUUCAGAAUGCCAAGUAAAGUUCAAUAAUUUUAAUAAUUUUAAAAUAUUGAUGAAAUAAAGAGACAAUUCAUAUUUUCAGGAAGAGCAUAAGGGAGAUUAAGCAAAAUAACCUUUUGAAAUAGAAUCUAAAAUGCCCGCAAAUGGCUUUUUAAUUCUAGUGACUAUUCUAAGGAAAUGAUGUAUUACUAUUUACUUAUUAACCUAUGAGAAUACAUACUAUGCUUUUUAUUUUUUUCUUGCAGGUAAAGGAAUAAAAGUAAUGGUCAACCAAGCCCCAUUUAUUUCUGGUUUCUGAUGCCAUUUAGUUCAGAGUUUCUUAAAGUGAGGUCUUUAUACCAAGAACAUCGAAAUUAACGUAAUGCUUCUUAAAAAUGCAGUUUCCAGGCCCUCCUUCAAACGUACUGAAUCACAGUCUCUGAGGAAUGGGGCCUGCGAGUCAGACCUUGAGCGGCCUCCAAGGUGACUCUGAAGUACAAUCAUGCUUAAGAACUGUAUUUCAAUUCACCGUUCCGUGUUGAUGAAUGGUUUGAGAUCACAGACCAAGUCAAAGAUGGUUUCUUCUGCGUUCCUUAAGUUUUAGUGCCGUUUGAAGAAACGGCUGGACCCUUUCCUCAGCAGGGAUUUUUAAUUUUAUUGUUACGUGAAAUAAGUAUUUCAUUUUAUGUGGUAGAAUCUGACAAACCCACCAAAGAAAUUUCUUAGAACUUUCACAGGUGAGUUUGUAAGCUUGGCUCUGUUGAGGCAGUUCUUUUGCAUAAAUCAGUGGGAUUUGAGUCAUGGACUACAUGUCUAUCACAAUUCUGUAACAAAAGCAGGUUACUUCCGAGAUGGACAAAGGGUGCCAUCAAGCAGGAGUUGGCCAUAUUUUUUUCUGCAAAAGGUCAAAUAGUAUUUUAGGCUUUGCAAGCCGUACAAUCUCUCUUGUAACUACUCAACUCCACUGCUGCAGCGUGAACUCAGUCAUAAACAAUACAUAAAUGAAAGGAGCAUGCUGUAUUGCAAUGAAACUUCAUUUACAAAAGCUUUAAUUACAGCCUGAUUAAGCCCGUGGAUCACUGUCUGUUGAUCCCGGAACAGACCAUUUAAUAUGCGAUCAAUAGUAUUUAAGGUAAAAACACUAGCACAAAUGCUGAAAAGAUAUUUACAACCUGAACUUACACGAGAACAUUGAUAAAACAGAUUUAAAAAUACAGUGUUUGCUUUCUGUUCUAUUUUUCUGUUUUCUUUAUUGGUGAUACAAUAGCCCUACCGUGACUAAUCAGUGUGAUAGAUUAUAAAUGUGGCCACAGAUUGGCCUCUCAUCGAGAGCUUAAGACUAUUUCUACUAUCUUUUAAGCUGGCCCUGUGAUGAUCUCUGUCCCACAAGAGGCAGCAAAAGUGUUGUAUUAGUUCUAACUUUUGAAGCCUUGCAGCUUCCACUUUCAUGCUGGGAAUCCUGAUGGAGAAAGGAAUUUCAUGUGGGGAGAGGUCCCAGCUGCCUCCAUCAUCCUAGGUGUCUUUAUUUAGGCUCACACGUACCAGUGGGCCCACCUGAGGAAAGGUAAGCCCAGCCCAGAUGAUCAAGCCACAAAGAUGGUUUUUGUUCUAAGCCACUCUGUUUGAUUGUGUUUUAUUCCACAGCAGCAGAUACAAAUAGAUAGCAAGGUCAUGAGCUGAGAACAAAAGGGAGGAUGUGUUUGAAGUUUGCAUCAAAGGUAUGGCAUGGAGAAGGUGUGACACGCUGCAUCUGUGAGUGUCCUAGAAUGGGCGAGGGAAAUACAGUAGGGUGCUGGAGAGCACUGAGUUCACUUGAGGUGAAUAAACUUAACAUAGUUUAUGAACUUAAAAUAAGACCAGUUAGAAUGGUUGUGUGGUUUUUGCCCCCAAAUAUUCCAGCUGUGCAGGUACAGGAAAAAAUGGAGGGUUGCAUUUAAAUAUGGGUGGCAGGGUUUUCGCAGGUGAACGUGGUGAGGGUAGAGAGAGGAAACUGGACUAGACAUUUAUUAUAAUCAAUGGGAAUGAUUUUAAUAAUAAGCUGGGUACAGAGGAAACUGAGGAUAUGGUGACUCUGAGAGACUUUGAUGGACUGUUGGUCCCAGUGGGGUAGAAGAACUCUUGAGCCCAAGUUCUACAGGAAGUGAGCUGGAAAGGUAGUAGCUGACCUGUCAGAGUGCAGUACUUGAAAUUACAACCACAGAGAGGAUGAUAGUUUUGUGAUGUGGCAAUUUGGUUCACCUGAACUUGCUUUUUCCCAGAAUUCCUUCCCUGCCUGCUUCUAUUUAGGGAGGGCGGAUGGGCAGUAGCAGCCAUGUUGCUUUUAUGCUCAGAAGGGUGAGCGGGAUGCUUCUGCAGGUCACAUACAUUGUGGCUUUUCUGCUGGCUCAUGCGAUGCUGUGGGGCAGCCCUGAGCCUGGGGCCACCUGUACGUGUUCCUUCAGUUUCUCCGACGCCAAGGCCGGGUGAGUGUUUUCUCCCUAAUGAGGUACACUAGCUUUUCAUGCAGGUUGCCCAUGUUAUCAAGGUUGGAGGCAGAGAGAGACUGGCUGGGUUCCAGUCUGUCCUUAAGGGUUUCAAGUUGUCCUUGCUUUUCUCUACUUUAUUUCCAGGCUCCCUUUUAAAUUACAUGCCCUGAGGACUUCAGGGUGCAGCAUCCGAUGUGAAGACAAGCCUUACAGAGAAUGAGUAGCCAGCUCUCUCGAGUCUGUACGGUUCAGUCCCUGUUAAAUCAAUCUAUCAUCCAAUAUGUCUGAUCCUUAGUGCUUCUGUUUUUCUGACUGAACCGUAAGUGACAUAGAGGGGAUACUGUCUUUUUUUUUUUUUUUUUUUUUUUUUGAGACGGAGUUUCGCUCUUGUUACCCAGGCUGGAGUGCAAUGGUGCGAUCUCAGCUCACCGCAACCUCCGCCUCCUGGGUUCAGGCAAUUCUCCUGCCUCAGCCUCCCGAGUAGCUGGGAUUACAGGCAGGCGCCACCGUGUCCAGCUAAUUUUUCUAUUUUUAGUAGAGACGGGGUUUCACCAUGUUGACCAGGCUGGUCUGGAUCUCUUGACCUCGUGAUCCACCCGGCUCGGCCUCCCAAAGUGCUGGGAUUACAGGCGUGAGCCACCGCGCCCGGCCGAGGGGAUAGUCUUAAUGAUUCGUGUCGAUGACAAGCUGCAGGAUGUGAAGAUGUGAAUGGGGGAACGGGGGAGAAAACAGCAGGCUCAUUGGAGGCAGGAGGCCUGUGAAAUGCAAGCGUUGUCUUUGUGGACGUUGAACUCACCAAAAGUUAAAACCAACAUCGCAUUGGAAAGAGUGAUACCAAAUCCAGACGCUAAAAUCCUCAAAAACGGUGGAGGCCCUGUUGAGAGGGUCUGGAUGGAAUGGCUACGAGGAGGUGGAAUAGGCAGUGGUGACCGCGGCACAGCUUUUAAGGAGGGUUACAGAGGCGGUUGUACGGGUGCGCAGGAUGGCAGUGGUGUACACUAGACACACUGGUAUUGAGGAGGAAGGUUACUAGCGCACGUGGUUCCGGGUGUAUGGAAGGGCAAACACGUCGCUGACUCCUGCAGCUUUUAUGCAAAGUCACUUUCCUCUUGCAGCAGGCCCAGCGCUUCUCUGACCAGGUUCUAUUGUGACUUGACUUUAAUUAUCGGCCUGUGAUUAGGAGACUUUUAGAGCAUCAAGGGUGAGGUGAAUCUAGUUAAUGCGGAAAGGUGUGUGGUGAUGGGUGUCAGGUGCAGCCUCAAGGCCAGGGGCCUCCAAUGACAGGUGUGCCGGCCUCUUGCUUCGAGGUAGGGGAAACUGCAGGCCUCUCGGCUCCGGGUUCUGUUGCGUUGAAUCUCAGUUCUCUGACUCUCCUGUGUUCCCGGCUCCUUACUGGAGCCAACCCUGAGAGUACUCACCAGUACACCUUCUGCAUGGAUAUUUCGGUCCGGAAGUCUGUUUCCUGGGGAAACUGGCCAGUUCUCUUCUUUGAAAUAUGCCCCUUUCUCUGCUGCUGGGACACCACGUUCUCUUGGAUCUUAUCCUGACUCACUCUCCUCUUUAGUAUCUUCUGUGUUUUUCCUUAUCUUCCAGGCUUGUAAAUACUGGCUUUUUUCUUCAUAAUCAUUUGAAGUGAUAUCAUCCUGACUCAUGGUUUCAAAUGCUGUGUAUACAAAAUGGAUUGAACAAACCUGGGUCACUUUAUUAAGGAUAGGAGCCCACUUCGGAGGUUAAUCAUCAUGAAUUUGAGACUAGUUGGCAAGAUUCUUUUUUUUUCCGUGGUCAUAUUCGGUUGUCUGAUCGGAAAUAGGCAUUUAUUCAUUCAAAAAACGUUUGUUCCGUUUAUUUCUUGCAUCAGGCAUUUUUCUUAGAGGAAACAGCAGGGAACAAAAUAGACCCAAACCCUUGUCCUUGUGGGUUUAUAUUCUGGUAGACAUGAUUCAGUGGUUCACACUGGCCAGUGGGUAACCCACUAAAAUUCUUUAAGCUUCAGCUUCCCAAACUGCUUAUUGGAGAAUUGAGAAAACAUGUAAAAUGCUUAGGAUAUAUAUAGUGGGAAUCCAACAAACAGAAGUGCAUUUUUAGAGAGAUCUUAGUCCAUGUAUCUGUUUGUUACAGCCUUAGAUUUAGUUGUUCCUGUAACUGGGAUUUCAAAUAUACUUUAAUCCAAGAUACUUGUUUUGUAAUAUUAAAGGAGAGUUCAUUCUGUUGAUAAACACUUAAAUAGUUUGUACUUUGUGCUGGGCACACAGUAACACAGACAGUGGAACGUUCUAAUUCUCCUUCCCUUGCAGGUGAAAUACCCAGUUGACAUGGUUUGUGCCCUACAGCACGUUAAAAGAACGCUGUUCUCAACAUGUGACCAUCCUCUUCCCGGUCGUUGGUCUUGAGCAGCCGGUUAAGUUGAAAGAUGGCUUUCUCCCUGAACUUCUCAAAGUUUUCAUGAUUUGUCUCAGCUUUCAGCUCAGCUGGCUACAAUCCUCUCCUCCCACCAGAAUCUAGAUUCUUAAAAUUUAAUUUAUCCUUUUCCUCUUGUGAAUUUUUAAAAAAUAACGCAGUAGUAGACGACUUCACCAUGGUUUCAAAUUUCUGGUGGCAUCUUAAACACUAACCGGUAUUUUGCAGCUCUCUGCUGUCAGCCUCACCUCUGCUCUUUGCUUCUGCUUCCCUAUCCUGGCGGCCUCUGGUAAAUAAUUCUUCACAGGUUCUCGGUUCCUCAGUUCUUUUUCACUCAGUAGGAUCCCUCCAUAUGCUCCUUUGCUCUUGUGCUUUUCCUUCCUGCCUCCUCUUCCAUCCCUCUCUCCCACUCUGCACUUCAUUCUUUCACCCUUUCUAAUGGAAUUGUUUCCCAGGUCUGCUUUCCAGCCGGCUUCCCAUCUUCUCUUUCACUGUCUUGUUCGUUCUUGCUCAUAUUUCUCAUCAUAUUCUCCCCGUCCUCCUCCCGUUUCCUCUUUCCUCCUUCCAUCUUCCUGCCUUUCCUCUCUGACUGCUUUUAAUUAGGGCUACUUUAAUUCAGAGGAUAGCGAAGUAUAAUGAGUCAUGGACAAGAAGGAGCCUCAGGUCUUAAUGCUUCAAAGGUUUAUCCAUUUAUCUUUUACCUUUGGAUAUGAAGAUUGUUUCUACUGUUAUUUCUCAUGGGUGUCAGUGUCCAACUUCUAUUUCCUUUGCUGUGUGGGAAAAAUUUUAAUGUUCCAAAGACACUUUUAUUGUUGGAUAAAAACAUUUCUCCUGAAGAUCUUGCUGUGUUUUCAAUAGUUCUGGAAUAUUCUUUAUAUACUAUAUUCCCUUUUACUUUUGUUUCCCCUGUCCUGCCCGAAACUAUAAUCUGAAUACUGACAACAUCCUUCAAGUAUAGUUCAGGAUUUUUCCGUAUUUAUUAACUUUCAAGUUUGAAAACAGUAUGAAUAUGUUUGGACCUAAUUGCUUCUGUAUGUUAGUCUUUAGGAGUUGUAUGAAUUAGUGAGACUACAUAAUGCAUGUGGCCAAUGUCUCAGACAUUUUGCUGCUUUUUGUGAUGUUAUUUCAUGUCGAGUUUAUAAUUUAUAGAUGUCAGCGUAAGCAUGUUACAUUGAAUAUGGGGGUUAGGGCAUGAUAUGGUCUGGCUGUGUCCCCACCCAAAUCUCAUCUUGAAUUGCAGCUCCCAUAAUCCCCAUGUGUUGUGGGAGGGAACUGGUGGGAGAUCACUGAAUCGUGGGGGCGGUUCCCCAUACUGUUAUCAUGGUAGUGAGGAAGUCUCAUGAGAUCUGAUGGUUUUUUAGCAUGAAAUCACUUUCACUUGGUUCUCAGUUCUGGUCUGCUGCCGUGGAAGACAUGACUUUCGCCUUUCACUGUCAUUGUGAGGCUGCCCCAGCGACGCUGAAAUGUGAGUCCAUUAAACCUCUUUUUUUUUUUUUGAUAAAUUACCCAGUCUUGGUAUGUCUUUAUCAGCAGCAUGAAAAUAGACUAAUACAGGGUGGAAGCCGAGAAGGAGCUAAAUUAAUUUUUUUCUCUUGAUUUCUGUCUCUUUACUGUCUGAGAUCUGAUAGGACAUUUUCUUCCAGGAGAUAAAGGGGAAAUAGAAAGGUGGGUGGGCAGGCAGCUGUAGGAGAUUUUCAGGUGCUCAAAUGAAGGGAAUAAAUGGAAAGAUUAUCAAAUAUUUCCAAAUAUUUCUUUUCAAUGGGCUACCUCCAUCCCUUAGAGAUUUUAGUGCGGGCCAUUUGUCUUUUAAGGGUUUAUUGGACCCAAAACCUGCUUCUUUCAUGGGACAAACAUGAAUUGGUUUCUAGUCAAGUGAGAUUAGUGACUAAAAUUGAGCUUUAUUUACAAGUUACAUGUAUGAAAAAUAGACUUUAAAAUGUGUGGGUGUCUAAUCAUUUAGUCAGUCAGCUAAUUGGAAACAGCUGUGAUAGCCCCAAAGCAGCUGUAUCCUUUUAAAAGUCAGAUGAGACCUACAUCAGACGGUGCCUGAAAGGUAGGUUUACAAUACAGAAGAGGAGAGGGCUGUGUGCAAACAUAUUUUUUUGUAAGUAUUGUGUCAAUUUAUGAGAGAUGGCAGGAGACUGAUUUUUAAGAAGUACAUUUGAGUCACAGAAUUUAAAUCUGAAACUUUGACUAUCUAGUAACAGAGUGAGCCAGCAUUUAACAAAGCAAUAAAGCAGGGAGGAACUUCAAGUCUUCAGCUUUAGUUUAGGAGGGGGUUGUACAGUUCUUCUGUAAAGAGCCCGAUAGAAAAUAUUUUAGGCUUUGCAGUAUACCUGGUCUAUGCAGUCAGUACUUCUGUAUCAUGCGUAUUAGUACACAUGCCUUCAAAUGCAGGAAAUUUCAGAUUAUAUCAUCAGCAUUUUGGUGGGGGCAAAUAAAGGUAAAGGCAAAGUGCUUGGUUUACAAACUUUAGAAGCUUCCUCAGGGUAUUCCUUUGUACAACUUCUUCAAUGGGUUGGAAACCAUGUAAAUAGACAGGCUGCUCUCUUCCAAUUUAGUAUUUCCUUGGAAAAGACAUAUGGAAUAGUGUUUCAAGUAACGGACUUGUUUUUUUUCUCUUGCCCAUCAGAAUGUCCCACUGUAAUACGCUGCAUUACUUUAAUGAGGGUCAAAUCAGAUGUAGGUUGUAUUCUUGUUUUAUUUUUGCAUGGAACAAUUUUGGAUAGUGGAAUUCUGGCUUUCUGUGGUGUUUGUUUUCUGGGUAAUUUGUUGUAAUGUUUUAAAAGUAUACAUCAGUGUUUAACUCUCAUACAUAUCAGUAAUGUAUUUGGAAAUAAGAAUGUGAUUCACAUAUUGUGACCCUUAGAAUUCUAAUCAAACUUAUUUUAAUACCAUAUGGAGAGUCAUGGGUUGCAGACUGUAAUAUAAUCAAGGGAAAAUAAGAUUUCUAAUAAUCCAGUUGCAUUUGUCAGCUGCUCAGUUUAUUGGUGCAGAACAAUGCACAGGACUGUAAUAAGUGGCACUAUUUGGUAAGGGGAAGAAGCAGCUAAAAGUAAUGUUUGCUGUGACAUAUCAGAAGGUAUUGUUUUUAAAGAUCAUGGCUAGUUAUCUAUAUAUAUUCUUAUUAUUCCAUGUAAUAUUUCACUGGAAAGAUAGUUAAUGUGGUAUAAUAAAGUUUAAUAUGUGAUCUAAAUGGAAAUCACAGAAAAUAACUACACUAGGCAUUUUGAUCACAAUGUUAUAAAGUGACUUACCCAAAAUAUGUAAGAAUGCAUUAAACUUUUGUCUUGUAAGCGGCCCCCAAAAUUUCAAGAAACAAAUGUGUAAAUUGAAGAGUGGUCAUUUUAUUUUCUGAAGACAACUUAUUUAAUUCUUAGAAAUGUCCAUUUGACGAUACCGAGAAAGCUUGCUCCUUUCCUCACAUGGUUUCUCUUACUUGUGGAGCCUGUCAGCCAGGAAAAGGUAAAAGAGUAGACUGCGGUGCAGAAAGAUAAGGCCUUUCCUGGGGUCUUAGGAAUUGCAAUUUGGGACACAGCUAGAAGCUGAGCUGUGUUCUGAAGAGAGGUAGGAUAGUAGAGAAUUGUAAAAGGAUGCUGAGGGUACUCACAAGUUGCUCUGAAAGAGUUAUCACUGGUGAGGGUGGUUGGCUUAGUACAUGAGUCCACAGUUCAUUGGUUGUCAUUGUUUAAGGGUUGCAGCACUGGUGAAAAUCAGCUGUUUUCCAGGAUGUUGUGGUCACGGUGGUGUGACCCAGUUCAAAUAUUAAAGGAAGUUCCUGUUUUGCAGGUUUCAGAUCAUGCAGGUAGUUCUUAGAUUGGCUUCCUGACUCCAUUUCAAGGCUCUGAAUCAUUUUGUGUGUCACAUUUCAGAAGCCUAAUGAUGAGAACCUGAAAAAGAAACAGGUCUCUUUUUCUUAAUAAAGACCAAGGGAGAUCAGUAAGUAUUUAUUAGAUCAUAAAUAGCCCUAAGAUAUUAUACUAGACAGCACUCCAUGAGGGAAAAGUGACUGAUCAAGUAUAGUGCUUGUCGUAAAAUAGGUAAAAAAGGAAAUAACAAUACACAUUAAAUAAUGUAAUUUAUAGCUAAAGGCACAAGAGAAGAAAUGUCUUAGCAACUGUAACAUAAUUAACAGUCAAUUAAUUUCCACAGAUAAUUUCCUAUUGUUUAAUUCUUGUGGGUGGGCGGCUCGGAUUUGCAGCUCUGGUUGUGAGGACCUCCCUAACUCUCUGCCCCAUGUAGGGUAUGAGAUGGUAAGGUUAGUAUUUUCCCACUUACGGAGUUACUUAAAAUAAUCGCAUAGAAGCAGAGAAUAAAAUGGUGUUUAGCAGUGGUUGGGGGAAGGAGGAAAUCAUGACUUGUUCAAUAGAUACAAACUUAGUUAAACCAGAUGAAUACGUUCUAGAAAUGUGCUGUAUAGCACGGUGCCUAUAGUUAACAAUAUCGUAUUGUUUCCUUAAAAAAAUUUUUAAGAGCGUUGAUCUCGGGCCGGGCGCGGUGGCUCAAGCCUGUAAUCCCAGCACUUUGGGAGGCCGAGGCGGGUGGAUCACGAGGUCAAGAGAUUGAGACCAUCCAGGUCAACAUGGUGAAACCCCGUCUCUACUAAAAAAAAUACAAAAAAUUAGCUGGGCAUGGUGGCGUGUGCCUGUAAUCCCAGCUACUCGGGAGGCUGAGGCAGGAGAAUUGCCUGAACCCAGGAGGCGGAGGUUGUGGUGAGCCGAGAUCGCACCAUUGCACUCCAGCCUGGGUAACAAGAGCGAAACUCCGUCUCAAAAAAAAAAAAAAAAAGCGUUGAGCUCAUGUUAUUUUUACCACAAAAAUCUCCUAACAGAAAACAAAAGGGCCUUUAGAAAUGUUUGGAAGUAACAGAUGUGUUUAUUAUCUUGAUUGUGGUGAUGGCUUCAUGGCCGGGUGCAUAUGUGAAGUUGUAUCAAGUUGUACACGUUAAGUGUCGUAUUUUGUACAUGAACAAAAUAUAGAUUCGUAUUUGCCAUAGGCUGCAAGGAGGGGAGGAGACUGAAGCAGUUGCUAAUGGGCACAGGGUUUCUUUUUGCAUGGUGGUCUGAAAUGGAUUGUGGUGAUGGUUGUCCAACUCUGUAAAUGUGCUGAAGACUAUUGAAUUGUACACUUGAAUGAAUUUUAUGGGAUGUAAGUUGUUAAUAAAGCUACUUAAAAAAAUA